GUGUCCUGACCUUUUCCUGGCUGUUACCCUCACCAGAGCUGUGGUGGUAGGGUCUGGGGGUGGACACAGAUCAACUUACCUCUCGUGUUAGGAGGGUUGCCAAAGGUAUGUGCAAACCCUUAAAGGCAAGAGAGGACACU
Molecule: small nucleolar RNA, 140 nt
Organism: Leptosomus discolor (cuckoo roller)
Lineage: Eukaryota; Metazoa; Chordata; Aves; Leptosomiformes; Leptosomidae
Rfam family: Small Cajal body specific RNA 11
About the family: scaRNAs are a specific class of small nuclear RNAs which localise to the Cajal bodies and guide the modification of RNA polymerase II transcribed spliceosomal RNAs U1, U2, U4, U5 and U12. ACA57 belongs to the H/ACA box class of guide RNAs as it has the predicted hairpin-hinge-hairpin-tail structure, conserved H/ACA-box motifs and is found associated with GAR1.
Source: Rfam